RNAcentral lists this ribosomal RNA (183 nucleotides) under uncultured bacterium. Its description in RNAcentral is "partial 16S ribosomal RNA". It matches the Rfam family "Bacterial small subunit ribosomal RNA", at positions 1319 to 1500 of the family's 1533-position model. The record is from RNAcentral.
CACGAAGCCGGAAUCGCUAGUAAUCGCAGAUCAGCAUGCUGCGGUGAAUACGUUCCCGGGUCUUGUACACACCGCCCGUCACACCAUGGGAGCCGGGAAUGCCCGAAGUCAGCGGCCCAACCGAAAGGAGGGGAGCUGCCGAAGGCAGGCCUGGUGACUGGGGUGAAGUCGUAACAAGGUAUC